UAGGCUGAAACUCGCCUACAUGAAGCUGGAGUUACUAGUAAUCGCAGAUCAGAAUGCUGCGGUGAAUGCGUUCCCGGGUCUUGUACACACCGCCCGUCACACCAUGGGAGCCGGGAAUGCCCGAAGUCGGUGACCCAACCGUAAGGAGGGAGCCGCCGAAGGCAGGCCUGGUAACUGGGGUGAAGUCGUAACAAGGUAUC
RNAcentral lists this ribosomal RNA (200 nucleotides) under uncultured bacterium. RNAcentral describes it as "partial 16S ribosomal RNA". It matches the Rfam family "Bacterial small subunit ribosomal RNA", at positions 1301 to 1500 of the family's 1533-position model. The record is from RNAcentral.